This 1143-nucleotide ribosomal RNA is filed under the name uncultured bacterium. RNAcentral's name for it is "bacterial SSU rRNA". It matches the Rfam family "Bacterial small subunit ribosomal RNA", at positions 202 to 1368 of the family's 1533-position model. The record is from RNAcentral.
AAAGAUUUAUCGCUGAAAGAUGGCCUCGCGUCUGAUUAGCUAGUCGGUGAGGUAAUGGCUCACCAAGGCGACGAUCAGUAGCCGACCUGAGAGGGUGAUCGGCCACAUUGGAACUGAGACACGGUCCAAACUCCUACGGGAGGCAGCAGUGGGGAAUAUUGCACAAUGGGCAACCCUGACCCAGCCAUGCCGCGUGAGUGAAGAAGGUUUUCGAAUUGUAAAGCUCUUUCGGAUGUGAAGAUGAUGACGGUAGCAUCUAAAGAAGCCCCGGCAAACUUCGUGCCAGCAGCCGCGGUAAUACGAAGGGGGCGAGCGUUGUUCGGAAUUACUGGGCGUAAAGGGUGUGUAGGCGGUUUAGUAAGAUAGUGGUGAAAUACCUGAGCUCAACUUAGGAAUUGCCAUUAUAACUAUUAAGCUUGAAUUACAGAGAGGAUAGCGGAAUACCCAGUGUAGAGGUGAAAUUCGUAGAUAUUGGGUAGAACACCGGUGGCGGAAGGCGGCUUAUCUGGCUGUAAAUUGACGUUGAGGCACGAAAGCAUGGGGAUCAAACAGGAUUAGAUACCCUGGUAGUCCAUGCUGUAAACGAUGAAUGCUGGUUGUCGGCUGGUUGGUCGGUGACGAAGUUAACGCGAUAAGCAUUCCGCCUGGGGAGUACGGCCGCAAGGUUAAAACUCAAAGGAAUUGACGGGGACCCGCACAAGCGGUGGAGCAUGUGGUUUAAUUCGAUGCAACGCGAAGAACCUUACCAACUCUUGACAUCCUUAUCGGGGAGAUCAGAGAUGAUUUCUUUCAGUUAGGCUGGAUAAGUGACAGAUGCUGCAUGGCUGUCGUCAGCUCGUGUCGUGAGAUGUUGGGUUAAGUCCCGCAACGAGCGCAACCCCUGCGAUCAGUUGCCAUCAGGUAAGCUGGGCACUCUGAUUGGACUGCCGGUGACAAGCCGGAGGAAGGUGGGGAUGACGUCAAGUCAUCAUGGCUCUUACGAGUUGGGCUACACACGUGCUACAAUGGCACCUACAGAGGGGAGCGAUACUGUGAAGUUGAGCAAAUCUUAAAAAGGUGUCUCAGUUCAGAUUGUACUCUGCAACUCGAGUACAUGAAGUUGGAAUCAAAUAGUAAUCGCGGAUCAGCAUGCCGCGGUGAAUA